RNAcentral lists this non-coding RNA (45 nucleotides) under Trichobilharzia regenti. Lineage: Eukaryota; Metazoa; Platyhelminthes; Trematoda; Strigeidida; Schistosomatidae. The record is from RNAcentral.
AUCCAGAUGACGAGUCCCAAAUAAGACGAAAUGUGCAUCCUGGAU